This 450-nucleotide ribosomal RNA is filed under the name uncultured bacterium. Its description in RNAcentral is "partial 16S ribosomal RNA". It matches the Rfam family "Bacterial small subunit ribosomal RNA", at positions 354 to 796 of the family's 1533-position model. The record is from RNAcentral.
GUGGGGAAUUUUGGACAAUGGGCGAAAGCCUGAUCCAGCAAUGCCGCGUGUGUGAAGAAGGCCUUCGGGUUGUAAACUGCUUUUGUACGGAACGAAACGGUCCGGGUUAAUACCCUGGGCUAAUGACGGUACCGUAAGAAUAAGCACCGGCUAACUACGUGCCAGCAGCCGCGGUAAUACGUAGGGUGCAAGCGUUAAUCGGAAUUACUGGGCGUAAAGCGCGCGUAGGUGGUUUUGUAAGUUGGAGGUGAAAUCCCCGGGAUCAACCUGUGAACUUCCUCCAAAACUGCAUGACUAGAGUACGGUAGAGGGUAGUGGGAUUUCCUGUGUAGCUGUGAAAUGCGUAGAUAUAGGAAGGAACACCAGUGGCGAAGGCGACUACCUGGACUGAUACUGACACUGAGGUGCGAAAGCGUGGGGAGCAAACAGGAUUAGAAACCCGUGUAGUCC